UCCCCGUUCUCCUGGGCAGUCUCUCCAGAGUUCUCGGCUUGACCCGUUAGUAACUGAAGACAGGGGUUGCGCUCGUUGCGGGACUUAACCCAACACCUCAUGGCACGGGCUGACGACAGCCAUGCAGCACCUAACCACAGGUUAUCCGAAGAUCACCCCGAUUUUUCAACCAGGUUCCUGUGUUUUCUAGCCCAGGUAAGGUUCUUCGCGUUGCGUCGAAUUAAACCACAUGCUCCACCGCUUGUGCGGGCCCCCGUCAAUUCCUUUGAGUUUCAGCCUUGCGGCCGUACUCCCCAGGCGGAGUGCUUAAUGCGUUAGCUGCAGCACUAAAGGGCGGAAACCCUCUAACACUUAGCACUCAUCGUUUACAGCGUGGACUAC
Molecule: unclassified non-coding RNA, 381 nt
Filed under: uncultured bacterium
Lineage: Bacteria
Description: contains 16S-23S intergenic spacer region
Source: RNAcentral